Long non-coding RNA from Rosa rugosa (rugosa rose), 861 nucleotides. RefSeq lists it as uncharacterized. NCBI's taxonomy places the organism in Eukaryota, Viridiplantae, Streptophyta, Magnoliopsida, Rosales, Rosaceae. The transcript is spliced from 3 exons. The record is from RefSeq and is a predicted model, not a curated record.
AACCAGCUCGAUCCGGUUGCACCCGAAAACGAAACAACUCAUCCUCCUCGUGUUUCCGGCCACCAAUUCCCCCCAAACUUCAUCCUCGAGCUCGCCUCAACGUCCUGAAGCUCCCAGAAGUAACCUUGCGCGGCGGCACGGCCGGCAGCGACGGCGGCGACCCCGAGUCCGGUUUAGCUCGUUUUCGUUCCAAACUCGAUAUCUCGAGCUACAGAGCACCAUUUCACUUGAUUCUUGGCUCAUUGAGCUCGCCUCAUCUUCCUAUACAAGCACCAAGAAGGAUCGGAACUGGAUCGAACGUUUUCACGUUCGUCGGAGCUCGACCCGUGCGGAUCGAACAACCAACCUUCGGAUCAAGAUAUCUCGAGCUAUACACGAUCGUUUCUUGUGAUUCUUGGCUUGUUGAGUUCAUAAGGAAGUUCUGAACAAUUCUCCAGAAGGGAUCGAGGCGUGAGGUUGUAGUUUUCACGUCGAUUUUGGAGCUCGCCGGUUUCUGGAAAAAUUCCGGCCACCGACUGAUUUUUGGUGAUCGACGGUUGGAUUUGGCGGACGAUUCGUGAAAUUGUAUUUUGAGCUGUUAAGAAGACGCAGCGGGAAUUUAGAGCGGGAAAUCCUACAGGUCAGGAGAACCAGGACGGUGAUCGGGCUGCUUAGAGUAGUGUUAUGUGAAUUACAGCAUUAUAUUGUGAGGUGUGUUAUGCUCAUUUAGAGCUUUGCAAUUUUACUUUGUAAGAGUGAAUUGUAAUAAUUAACUCGAGGUUUUCGAGUUUUUGUGUUGAGUGGCGAGUGGUGUGUUUGUUUGUGAGAAAAAAAUUCAGAACGUUAUUUGUAUUAAUUGUUUAUUCAUGUUUCGGAUUUGAA